UACGUAGGGGGCAAGCGUUGUCCGGCAUUAUUGGGCGUAAAGAGCGUGUAGGCGGUCCGGUAAGUCAGCUGUGAAAGUCAAGGGCUCAACCCUUGAAAGCCGGUUGAUACUGUCGGGCUAGAGUCCGGAAGAGGCGAGUGGAAUUCCCGGUGUAGCGGUGAAAUGCGCAGAUAUCGGGAGGAACACCAAUGGCGAAGGCAGCUCGCUGGGACGGUACUGACGCUGAGACGCGAAAGCGUGGGGAGCAAACAGG
RNAcentral lists this ribosomal RNA (253 nucleotides) under uncultured bacterium. RNAcentral's name for it is "partial 16S ribosomal RNA". It matches the Rfam family "Bacterial small subunit ribosomal RNA", at positions 524 to 776 of the family's 1533-position model. The record is from RNAcentral.